CAGUCGAACGAAGCACUUUAACCUGAUUCUUCGGAUGAAGGUUUUUGUGACUGCCUUUCGGACGGGUGAGUAACGCGUGGGUAACCUGCCUCAUACAGGGGGAUAACAGUUAGAAAUGACUGCUAAUACCGCAUAAGACCACGGAGCCGCAUGGCUCAGUGGGAAAAACUCCGGUGGUAUGAGAUGGACCCGCGUCUGAUUAGGUAGUUGGUGGGGUAACGGCCUACCAAGCCGACGAUCAGUAGCCGACCUGAGAGGGUGACCGGCCACAUUGGGACUGAGACACGGCCCAAACUCCUACGGGAGGCAGCAGUGGGGAAUAUUGCACAAUGGGGGAAACCCUGAUGCAGCGACGCCGCGUGAGCGAAGAAGUAUUUCGGUAUGUAAAGCUCCAUCAGCAGGGAAGAAAAUGACGGUACCUGACUAAGAAGCCCCGGCUAACUACGUGCCAGCAGCCGCGGUAAUACGUAGGGGGCAAGCGUUAUCCGGAUUUACUGGGUGUAAUGGGAGCGCAGGCGGUGCGGCAAGUCAGAUGUGAAAACCCGGGGCUCAACCCCGGGACUGCAUUUGAAACUGUCGGACUAGAGUGCCGGAGAGGUAAGUGGAAUUCCUAGUGUAGCGGUGAAAUGCGUAGAUAUUAGGAGGAACACCAGUGGCGAAGGCGGCUUACUGGACGGUAACUGACGCUGAGGCUCGAAAGCGUGGGGAGCAAACAGGAUUAGAUACCCUGGUAGUCCACGCCGUANACGAUGAAUACUAGGUGUCGGGGCNCAUAAGUGCUUCGGUGCCGCAGCAAACGCAUUAAGUAUUCCACCUGGGGAGUACGUUCGCA
RNAcentral lists this ribosomal RNA (832 nucleotides) under uncultured bacterium. Its description in RNAcentral is "bacterial SSU rRNA". It matches the Rfam family "Bacterial small subunit ribosomal RNA", at positions 59 to 890 of the family's 1533-position model. The record is from RNAcentral.